Molecule: unclassified non-coding RNA, 1340 nt
Filed under: uncultured Chlorophyceae
Lineage: Eukaryota; Viridiplantae; Chlorophyta; Chlorophyceae
Description: sequence contains 5.8S rRNA gene, ITS2, 28S rRNA gene
Rfam family: Eukaryotic large subunit ribosomal RNA (bases 412-1340)
Source: RNAcentral
AACUCUCAACAACGGAUAUCUUGGCUCUCGCAACGAUGAAGAACGCAGCGAAAUGCGAUACGUAGUGUGAAUUGCAGAAUCCCGUGAAUCAUCGAAUCUUUGAACGCAUAUUGCGCUCGAGGCUUCGGCCAAGAGCAUGUCUGCCUCAGCGUCGGGUUAAUAUCAUCCUACUUAACACCUAGGAUGGAUCUGAUCGUUCCAGUUCAGUUGUGUUGGUUGAUAAUCAUGCCUUCAUCGGCUGACUAUCAACUGCAUGUGUAACCCUGGAUCGGUUGAAGCGCAGAGAUGACUUAGGACCCACCAUGGGCCGCAACUGGGUAGGCGUGUCCUUAAUUGGGCAAUGUCAAUGCUUAGUUGUUGGUCUGGAUUCUAAGGCGUCCACCUCAAGGAUUAAACCUUACCUUAUUACCUCGACCUGAGCUCAGGCAAGAACACCCGCUGAACUUAAGCAUAUCAAUAAGCGGAGGAAAAGAAACUAACCAGGAUUCCCCUAGUAACGGCGAGCGAACCGGGAAUAGCCCAACUUGAAAAUCUCCCUUUGGAGAAUUGUAGUCUACAGAAGCGCCCUCUGCGGCGGUCGGAGCCCAAGUCUGCUGGAAAGCAGCGUCAUAGAGGGUGAGAACCCCGUCGGCUCUCGGCUCAGUCGCUCCACGAGGUGCUUUCCACGAGUCGGGUUGUUUGGGAAUGCAGCCCAAAAUGGGAGGUAAAUCCCUUCUAAGGCUAAAUAUUGGCGAGAGACCGAUAGCGAACAAGUACCGUGAGGGAAAGAUGAAAAGAACUUUGAAAAGAGAGUUAAAAAGUGCUUGAAAUUGUUGAGAGGGAAGCGAUGGGAGGGCGUGGGUGCGCCCAGGCUUAUACGCCUCUAACGAGUCGUUGUAUGCGCUGGGUGCUGGUCAGCAUGGGUUCGACGGGCGGGAUAACAAUCGGGCUAGUUUAUCCCGGUCUAUGCCGUCUGUCGGACCAAGGUGUGAAUGGCGCUUCGUCCUCCGGGAACUGCGCCAUCAAGAUGCUGGCGGAAGCCCUUCCAUCGGCCCGUCUUGAAACACGGACCAAGGAGUCUAACAUGUAUGCGAGUUGGUGGGUGGCAAACCCAUGAAGCGCAAGUAACCUGACUGGUGGGAUGGCCUGUGCCUGCACCAUCGACCGACCAUGAUCUUCUGUGAAAGGUUUGAGUGCGAGCAUACCUGUUGGGACCCGAAAGAUGGUGAACUAUGCCUGAGCAGGGUGAAGCCAGAGGAAACUCUGGUGGAGGCUCGUAGAUGUGCUGACGUGCAAAUCGCUUUUCGGACUUGGGUAUAGGGGCGAAAGACUAAUCGAACCAUCUAGUAGCUGGUUCCCUC